Molecule: ribosomal RNA, 542 nt
Filed under: Nostoc sp. ISC 26
Lineage: Bacteria; Bacillati; Cyanobacteriota; Cyanophyceae; Nostocales; Nostocaceae
Description: bacterial SSU rRNA
Rfam family: Bacterial small subunit ribosomal RNA
Source: RNAcentral
AACGGUGGCUAAUACCGGAUGUGCCCUUGGGUGAAAGAUUAAUUGCCUGAAGAUGAGCUCGCGUCUGAUUAGCUAGUAGGUGGGGUAAGAGCCUACCUAGGCGACGAUCAGUAGCUGGUCUGAGAGGAUGAUCAGCCACACUGGGACUGAGACACGGCCCAGACUCCUACGGGAGGCAGCAGUGGGGAAUUUUCCGCAAUGGGCGAAAGCCUGACGGAGCAAUACCGCGUGAGGGAGGAAGGCUCUUGGGUCGUAAACCUCUUUUCUCAAGGAAGAACACAAUGACGGUACUUGAGGAAUCAGCAUCGGCUAACUCCGUGCCAGCAGCCGCGGUAAUACGGAGGAUGCAAGCGUUAUCCGGAAUGAUUGGGCGUAAAGCGUCCGCAGGUGGCGAUGUAAGUCUGCUGUUAAAGAGUGAGGCUCAACCUCAUAAGAGCAGUGGAAACUACAUAGCUAGAGUGCGUUCGGGGCAGAGGGAAUUCCUGGUGUAGCGGUGAAAUGCGUAGAGAUCAGGAAGAACACCGGUGGCGAAAGCGCUCUGC